UUUCCGUAGGUGAACCUUCGGAAGGAUCAUUACCGUAACGCGGCGGUCCGGCAACCGCAAGGAAGUCGGCCGCCACACGCGUUUAUCACCCUUGACUUUGAGCACCUUUCGUUUCCUCGGCGGGUUCGCCCGCCAGCGAGGACCCCCACAAACCCUGAAGUGAGCGGUUACGUCUGAAAACAAACAAAAUCUAUCAAAACUUUCAACAACGGAUCUCUUGGUUCUGGCAUCGAUGAAGAACGCAGC
This 246-nucleotide unclassified non-coding RNA is filed under the name uncultured fungus. RNAcentral's name for it is "sequence contains ITS1, 5.8S rRNA gene". The stretch from base 198 to 246 matches the Rfam family "5.8S ribosomal RNA", at positions 1 to 49 of the family's 154-position model. Lineage: Eukaryota; Fungi. The record is from RNAcentral.